CUAUUUCCAAGGCUCUAAUCUCAUGCAGUUCAGCUGAAAAAACAUCAGCCUUCUGCGGAUCUUUCUAUAUAGGCAACCAUGUAAAUGACUCAAUGGUGUGUUGGAAGAAACUCAGUGUGCUGGUUUUCCAGCAUGUUUGGAAGCUCUCUAGUGUGGUGUCAGUGCCUCCUGGCACCCAGCAACUCUGCCUGCGAGAAGGAAGCGUGACCCCCUGAAUGUGCAGAACUAAGGGGUAAAGAGCAGGGCAGCAGCCCAAACUGCUAAUUUGGGUUUCCUUAAGAAAACGGUGGAGUUAGAUUUCCUUGCUAAUUGCAGUUCAGUAGAUCAUUUCUGGAAAACAAUGUGUUUCAACGUGGUAGUCUGAUUAAAAAAGGAAGUGGGGCUUUCCCACUGCUGACUUACAAGAGGAGUUAAGCAGUGCAGGUCACUUCUUGCUGUGUAAGGCCAGGCAGGUUGCAGGCAGACUGGGUGGAAGUGGAGGUGACUGUCCCCACCCUGGACUGCUUGAGCAUCCUGUCAGGACUCACGGAAAAGAUGUGCAACUGUGGGCCUGAUGGAGCACUGUGACCUGUGCUCCACUGGGGAGGAAGAGGGAAGCAUGCACUCUCAGCUAUUGCAUUGACGUUAAGCUUGAUUUAUAUCAAGCAGCUGGGGAUUUCUGCUAACUGAUUUUUACUUAGGGUGACAUACUGGCACAGUUCUGCUUUCCUUACUGGCAGCACAGAAGAAGAUUAAAAAGUAACUCCAAAGUCUUCUUUGUAUUGUUUGUUUCCUUGCUGCACUCACCAACAGGGAGCCGGUGCUCUUUGUGUCCUGCAGGCAAUGCCAAGAAAACGCACCAAGCUUUGAUGGACACAUUGCAGAGUAUUUUCUCGGACACCUCAGAAGAUAUAGCAGUGAGAAAUGCCUGGAUGUGAGAGAAACUUGGCAUAUUUUCAUGUCUGCCUUGAAUAACCCAUCCUGCUGGGUUGCUCGCCUUUUGCCUACAAGUGGGUGUAGCUCACUGUGGUUUUGCAUGAGCGGUCAUGCAGGAAGAGGUGAGACCCACCAAACCACAGUUUGCCUCGCUCCCUGUGAGCAAUGCUGUUGAUAUAACGACCCAGCUCAGACAGGGAAGGAUUUCUAGUGGCUGCCACUGAUUUCCUACAGGAGGGCACUGUGGAAGGAAGGAGAGGUGGUACGCAUGGGGAAAGAUCAAAGUGCUUUCAGAGAUCUGCAGUAGUAUCGCAUUCUUCUUUCGAUUACGUGAGUGCAGCUGAAGACCUGGAGCAGCAGUGAUGAGGUGCAUGCACUGCAGCUACUCCCUUCCCUAUUCUCAUAGGAAGCUCCUGCGUUGAGGGAAGAAGUUCCCGGAGCUUUCUGUGCUGGUGAAAGAGGCAGCUGUGCUAAUUCUGAUACCGAGUAUUCUCUUACAAACUGAGAUGCUGCAAAACUCCUCAGAAGAGCAGAAAAGGAAGACUUACACCUCUGUCUGACACAGUUAAAAUCUCUCCCUGUGCACUUAUCAGCUUGCAUAUCUCUGUGAAACUCUGUGCUUCAGCGAGGGCUACAUCACUAGGCAACUACUGCAAAGAAACAUGAGUUCUACAGGAUUUCAGGGAAGAAUUCUUCCUCUACUUUUGUUCACUUCUGAGUUUGCUUCUUGGCACCCUCUUCCUUAAUGUGAGGUCAGCCAGAGUACUUUCACAGUUUUUCCUGUCUGUUUUGUCAUUUGUUUCUGUUUCGCAGGCUUACAGCUCCGAAGUUUUUCCAAGAGAGAAGAGAAACCAAACUGGAAGAUGAGAGCAUUGCACAGGCACCAAAUGCUGUUUCUGUUCAACCUUUGUUUCAUCGAGAAAAGUGGGUGUCUAAAAUCAAAGCACGCAUUACUUCCCAUCACUUGUAAUCUGAGACUAGUGUUUUAGUGGAGUCUGCUGCCAGACUACAGAGAAAAGGAAACUUAGUGGAUCACCAGGUUUUUCAGCCUCUGAGAAAGAUAACCAACCAAGCACCAAGAGACAGGAUAGAAGCAUGAAGGUGGUAAUUAACCACAUAGCUGAUUUUGGACUGUUACUAUGCUACCAGAAAAACAUGCUGGGAGAAGCCAUCAUCCACCGUGAAUGAGUUUUCUUGUAUAAGGAAUCCACUUGUUUAUGAGACUCACUUUAAACAAUAACAGAAUCACAAAAUCACAGAGUUGUAGGAGUUGGAAAGGACCUCUAGAAAUCAUCGAGUCCAACCUCUUCUGCUAAAGGAGUUCCCUGCAGCAGGUCACACAGGAAAGUGUCCAGGUUGGUUUUGAAUAUCUCCAGAGGAGACUCCACAACAUCUCUGGGCAGCCUGCUCCAAUGCUCUGCCACCCUCACAAUAAAGAAGUUCUUCCUCAUGUACGUAUGGAACUUCCUGUGUUCCAGUUUGUGCCUAUUUCUGUUGUCCUGUCACUGGGCUCUGCUGAAAGAGUCUGGCCACAUCCACUUGACUCCUGCCCUUUAGAUAUUUAUCAACAAUGAUGAGAUCCCUCUCAGUCUUCUCCAGAGGGAAUAGUCUCUCAGCCUUUCUUCAUAAGGGAGAUGCUCCAGGCCCCUAAUACUCUUUCUGGCCUUUCACUGGACUCUCUCAAGAAGAUCCUGUCUUUCUUGAGUGAGGAGCCCAGAACUGGAUGCAUACAGAGUGGCCUCACUGGGGCAAAGUAGCUGGGGAGGACCUCUUCCCUCAACCUGUUGUCCACACUUUUCAAUGAAACCCAACUUUUAGAGUCCAACUGGUCCCAGUAUUGUUCUGGUAAUGAGGAAGAGCUCCAGAGUGAAAAUGUUGGACUCUGAUUAUGCUUUGCUGUCAUUCAGCAGCACUCAUCCUUCCACCUCUGUCUUGAACAACUGUGUGACUGGUCUUUCCUUGCAGUAAUGAACUAGACAGUGUAUAACCAAGUAGUUAGCAAUACAGAUUUUGUUCUCAGAGUUUCUUUGAACUUUAGUUUCAACUAGACAAUCCCUGGCACCAAAUCCAAGAAAAGAAAAACAUGAGAAAAAUCGUGAUGUGUGGGGAUUGGUUAUAUAUUCAUAAAGCCACUAAUCAGUUUCUUUUCUCUCUCAUUUUUGUUAGGCUUUCUUUGUCUACUUUCAGGUCUUAUCUCCAUAUGAACACUGAUAGCAGAUAAAUCAAGACAACAGCUUCCUUCAUUUUUAGGAGUUUUGUUAAAAUUGACUUUCUCCCUCUGACAUGAAUAUCAGUUUAUAUCUCAAUCAAAUCUGGAAUUGUAGUUUAGAGAGAAAAUACAUAAAAUAUGUGUAGAAGAUUUUCCUAUGUCAUCCUUCUCACAGACACUUUCUGUUACUUUUAGAUUUAUUUCAGAUUAUUGUUUACUACGCAAUCAUUAAUAAUUUACAGAAGUAAAGGCUUUUGUUUGGUAGUGAUUUGUUAUAACUGGAAUAAUGAAAAUAAUUAUAUGUAUCUUAUCUCCAGUUCUUCAGUUUUGUAAAGUUCUGCUAAACUCAAGUGUUCAAGCUGUAAUAUAUCUCUUUUACUUUGGGUCUUACCAUUGAAUGACCUGACCUUUUAAUAAAGAUUUUUGUUUCCUAUGGUGCUUGAUUUCUUUGGCUAAGUAAUAAAAAGUGUGUGACACUUAAGAGCUUCCUACUUCCCUACUCUCUCUUAUAGUAGAGUGCUUAUGUAAUGAAGAGUGAUUGCUUGCAAGUCCAGAGAAAGAAAUCCUAAGCAUAUCUGUAUCUUCCAGUUGAUGGGUAUUAAAAAAAAAAAAAAAUACCCAAACUGCCUGUCAGCCUUGGGAAGAUAAAGAGGACAGAGCAGUGUGAAUGAAUUCAUCAGCAACAAAUGACAGCAAACUUGUCUGAUUUCCCUCUGUGACCAAGUAACAGACAUUAUGAAGAGUCAAGCAGCCGUAUCUAUCUGUCUGUCUGUGGUAUAUCUUGACUUCUGUGGUAUUUUUGAGGCUGCCUUUGACAAUUGUUACCUAGAUGUAUUUUGAUAACAUGCUAUAGUUGAAUGCACAGUAGUUGCAAAAUUCUAAAUAAUUA
This 4013-nucleotide long non-coding RNA is filed under the name Gallus gallus (chicken). RNAcentral's name for it is "lncRNA (ENSGALG00010007200.1)". Lineage: Eukaryota; Metazoa; Chordata; Aves; Galliformes; Phasianidae. The record is from RNAcentral.